CAUUUUAGUUUGCUUGCAACUGAAGAUGGCGACCGGCGCACGGGUGAGUAACACGUAUCCCAUCUGGCGAUAACUCCGGGAUAGCCUUUCGAAAGAAAGACUUAUACCGGAUAGCAUACGAAUAUCGCAUGAUAUUUUUAUUAAAGAAUUUCGGUUAUCGAUGGGGAUGCGUUCCAUUAGUUUGUUGGCGGGGUAACGGCCCACCAAGACUACGAUGGAUAGGGGUUCUGAGAGGAAGGUCCCCCACAUUGGAACUGAGACACGGUCCAAACUCCUACGGGAGGCAGCAGUGAGGAAUAUUGGUCAAUGGGCGAGAGCCUGAACCAGCCAAGUAGCGUGAAGGAUGAAGGCUCUAUGGGUCGUAAACUUCUUUUAUAUGGGAAUAAAGUAUUCCACGUGUGGAAUUUUGUAUGUACCAUAUGAAUAAGGAUCGGCUAACUCCGUGCCAGCAGCCGCGGUAAUACGGAGGAUCCGAGCGUUAUCCGGAUUUAUUGGGUUUAAAGGGAGCGUAGGUGGAUUGUUAAGUCAGUUGUGAAAGUUUGCGGCUCAACCGUAAAAUUGCAGUUGAAACUGGCAGUCUUGAGUACAGUAGAGGUGGGCGGAAUUCGUGGUGUAGCGGUGAAAUGCUUAGAUAUCACGAAGAACUCCGAUUG
Molecule: ribosomal RNA, 653 nt
Filed under: uncultured Bacteroides sp.
Lineage: Bacteria; Pseudomonadati; Bacteroidota; Bacteroidia; Bacteroidales; Bacteroidaceae
Description: bacterial SSU rRNA
Rfam family: Bacterial small subunit ribosomal RNA
Source: RNAcentral